GACAGGAAGAAUGCAGGAUGUGACAAUGAGCUGUGUGUGGGGCUGGGCACACACACAAUGGGCAAACAUUGAGUAGAGACGGGGAGACUGAAAUGUCAGUAACAGGCGACAGCACUCUUCAGCACUCUUCGGUUUCUUCUAAACUGCACUGAGGUUCAUGGUUCUGAACACUUGGAGUCUGAGAGAUGGGCCUUGAGGAUGACGUCCCAGCCUCCUGACCCACAGGGGUGAUGCCAUACACUCCCGCCACCACCAAGAGAGCCCAGCUGCCAUGAACUGCACUGUGCUUUCCCAGCCAUGAUGGAAUAUUCCUAACUGUGUCAGUCAGCUAAGCUGGCCUUGGCGCUUUUGCAGCUAGACCACGUUGUGGCUUCUUGUCUACUCCUGAUGUCUUCUUCCUGCCGUGAUUGCUCCUGGGCUGGUUGGUCGACCACUUGACUCCUUCCACAACCCCAUUAGACUGGAGUGACUUGGGGUGUCAAACUCUACCAGGAGUGACUGGGGCACCUUCUCGGGCCCCUUGGGAGCUGGGGACCUGCCAUGUGGUCAGCUGAGAUGCAUCUGGCUGCCACGUUGCUUUCAUAGCUUGCCUGCCAGCCCCCCAGCUCUCUGGGUCACUCCUCUUCUGAUGUUGCCACCAUACUCGGCUCAGUUACCACGCUACUGGAGGUUACCAGCUCAGCCCACACUACUGGAGGAGCCUGAAGAGAAUGGUAGCAUUUCAGGCUGUCCCUGGAGCCAGCCACCCCCACUGCCGCCAGCAGACCCUCUGCAUUUGGAAGUCCUUUCCCUCAAUGUGUUCUCCCUCUGUGUAUCAGUGCGGUGCCCUUACAGAGAUCCUUGCGGCUGUGUGAAGCAUCAUCACCAUGGCUGCCUCUGCCUGCAUCUUUCCUCAUAGAAUUUAUCACCGCCCGGCAUGCAACAACAGCUAAUCUUGGUUCACCUCCUUCUCCCAGCAGACUGCAGUGUGCCCGAGGGGCCAGGCUUUGAAUGAGCAGUCCUUCAAGUGUGCCUGACCGACAGCAAGCAUCGGGAAGCUAUUGAACGGAUGAACACAGAAGGCAGGUAGGAGGGGGCAGCGUGAUGGAGGAGGAAGAUUGGAGUUCAACCAUGAGUCCCCCCAUAGUCAAGCACCAGGGCAUUCACGGAAGGGUGGCCUGUAUCUUACACAGUUGACCACAAGCUGCUCUCUGACGAACUCAGCAGCAAGCUCACUAUGUCCCUUCCAGAAUAAUCUCUGAGGUUAAGAGAAAGGUGUGUCAACAGGAAGUCAUGCUGAACUUAAAAACCAUCUGCUUUGGUCUUUUCUGCUCACAGCCCAGAUACCGGACACACAGCCAAGACUGAAACAGCAGUGACUGGCCAAAGCCAUUGGUUGUCUUAAUGACUGCUUUCGGUCAUUAAGAUGCCUGGAUUGGAUUUAUCGCCAACGAGCGGAUCGAUUACUUGGUGCUCAUCUGCAAUCUAAGCCUUUCUGUGUCUCCACUUCGGUUAUUUCAUUAAGAUGGAUGGGCUGGUGAUGCCACACCCCCUGGGAAGCUGGGCUGGAGAGCUCUGCCUGAAUGGAGCAUUAGAGAGAGAAAAAUAAACCGGGCCUAGGGAAGGAAGAAGGGCCGCGCGGUACGAGGCUCUUAGUUCACAUCCGGUGGUGCUGGGUGAGCCACUCAGCCUGCAGCUGCUGGUGAUAGCUCAUGCUGAGGGUCGCAUGGUCUUUCAGGGGGGUUGUCUACGUUUGCUGAGUGUGGAUGCAGCUUUGUGGAGGUUUUUAGGACUCUAUUUUCCAGUCUUGGAGUGUCUUCCUGUGCCAAAAUCUGUCUUUGUUCUAGCAUGGAUCUCUGUCAUGUUCUGGAAGGGUCAUCCUGCCACGACAGACUUUUCUGGGGAAACUAAACGUCCUCAUGUCCGUUGUUUGUGCUUCUUGAAGCAGCUACAAUAAAAUAAAAGCACAGAAUUAGCCUGAGCCUUGUGGUGGUCUUAUGAGAAUUGUCCCCAUAGGAUCCUAUGUUUAAAUGCUUGGUCCCUAGUUAGUGGAACAAUUUGGAAAGGAUUAGGAGGU
Molecule: small RNA, 2056 nt
Filed under: Rattus norvegicus (Norway rat)
Lineage: Eukaryota; Metazoa; Chordata; Mammalia; Rodentia; Muridae
Description: uncharacterized LOC102555798
Source: RNAcentral